This 72-nucleotide transfer RNA is filed under the name Sus scrofa (pig). It matches the Rfam family "tRNA". Rfam says of the family: Transfer RNA (tRNA) molecules are approximately 80 nucleotides in length. The record is from Rfam by way of RNAcentral. Lineage: Eukaryota; Metazoa; Chordata; Mammalia; Artiodactyla; Suidae.
UCCCUGGUGGUCUAGUGGUUAGGACCCAAUGCUUUAACCUCUGAGGCCUGGAUUUAAUUUCUGGUCUGGGAA